This 73-nucleotide transfer RNA is filed under the name Actinoallomurus iriomotensis. RNAcentral describes it as "tRNA-Lys". It matches the Rfam family "tRNA". Rfam says of the family: Transfer RNA (tRNA) molecules are approximately 80 nucleotides in length. Their secondary structure includes four short double-helical elements and three loops (D, anti-codon, and T loops). Lineage: Bacteria; Bacillati; Actinomycetota; Actinomycetes; Streptosporangiales; Thermomonosporaceae. The record is from RNAcentral.
ACGCCGUAAGCAUUACGGGUGAUGCACCGGGUUCUUACCCCGGGGAACAGAGUUCAAUUCUCUGACGGCGUAC